Molecule: long non-coding RNA, 203 nt
Filed under: Bos taurus (domestic cattle)
Lineage: Eukaryota; Metazoa; Chordata; Mammalia; Artiodactyla; Bovidae
Description: long non-coding RNA NONBTAT006714
Source: RNAcentral
CACAUUUACUCACUUUUACUGCAACAAAAAUAUCCCAAGCAGUUACCCUGAUUUCAGGCUAAUCCCUUCCAAUAUGAAGCUGCCAGGGUAGGUUUCUUAAAAUGUUUAUCAUUAAUUCAAAAUCAUCAGCAAAGUCCACAAAAACCUCUGUAAUACGAUGUUGCUGAACAAAAUACUGGCAGCCCUAGAAACACAAGAACUAU